RNAcentral lists this ribosomal RNA (266 nucleotides) under uncultured Enterobacteriaceae bacterium. Its description in RNAcentral is "partial 16S ribosomal RNA". It matches the Rfam family "Bacterial small subunit ribosomal RNA", at positions 70 to 339 of the family's 1533-position model. The record is from RNAcentral. Lineage: Bacteria; Pseudomonadati; Pseudomonadota; Gammaproteobacteria; Enterobacterales; Enterobacteriaceae.
CACAGAGAGCUUGCUCUCGGGUGACGAGUGGCGGACGGGUGAGUAAUGUCUGGGAAACUGCCCGAUGAAGGGGAUAACUACUGGAAACGGUGGCUAAUACCGCAUAACGUCGCAAGACCAAAAGGGGGACCUUCGGGCCUCUCACUAUCGGAUGAACCCAGAUGGGAUUAGCUAGUAGGCGGGGUAACGGCUCACCUAGGCGACGAUCCCUAGCUGGUCUGAGAGGAUGACCAGCCACACUGGAACUGAGACACGGUCCAGACUCC